CCUACGGGGGGCAGCAGUGGGGAAUAUUGGGCAAUGGGCGCAAGCCUGACCCAGCAACGCCGUGUGAAGGAAGAAGGCUUUCGGGUUGUAAACUUCUUUUCUCAGGGACGAAGCAAGUGACGGUACCUGAGGAAUAAGCCACGGCUAACUACGUGCCAGCAGCCGCGGUAAUACGGAGGGGGCAAGCGUUAUCCGGAUUUACUGGGUGGAAAGGGCGUGUAGGCGGGACUGCAAGUCAGAUGGGAAAACCACGGGCUCAACCUGUGGCCUGCAUUUGAAACUGUAGUUCUUGAGUACGGGAGAGGCAGACGGAAUGCCUAGUGUAGCGGUGAAAUGCGUAGAUAUCAGGAGGAACACCAGUGGCGAAGGCAGUCUGCUGGACAGCAACUGACGCUGAGGCGCGAAAGCGUGGGGAGCAAACAGGAUUAGAUACCCCUGUAGUC
RNAcentral lists this ribosomal RNA (443 nucleotides) under uncultured bacterium. RNAcentral's name for it is "partial 16S ribosomal RNA". It matches the Rfam family "Bacterial small subunit ribosomal RNA", at positions 338 to 795 of the family's 1533-position model. The record is from RNAcentral.